RNAcentral lists this ribosomal RNA (465 nucleotides) under uncultured bacterium. Its description in RNAcentral is "partial 16S ribosomal RNA". It matches the Rfam family "Bacterial small subunit ribosomal RNA", at positions 28 to 507 of the family's 1533-position model. The record is from RNAcentral.
GACGAACGCUGGCGGCGUGCUUAACACAUGCAAGUCGAACGGAAAGGCCCUGCUUGCCGGGUACUCGAGUGGCGAACGGGUGAGUAACACGUGGGUGAUCUGCCCUGCACUUCGGGAUAAGCCUGGGAAACUGGGUCUAAUACCGGAUAGGAGCCAUUUUUAGUGUGAUGGUUGGAAAGUUUUUUCGGUGUAGGAUGAGCUCGCGGCCUAUCAGCUUGUUGGUGGGGUAAUGGCCUACCAAGGCGGCGACGGGUAGCCGGCCUGAGAGGGUGGACGGCCACAUUGGGACUGAGAUACGGCCCAGACUCCUACGGGAGGCAGCAGUGGGGAAGAUUGCACAAUGGGCGCAAGCCUGAUGCAGCGACGCCGCGUGGGGGAGGACGGCCUUCGGGUUGUAAACUCCUUUCGCUAGGGACGAAGCUUUUUGUGACGGUACCUAGAUAAGAAGCACCGGCUAACUACGUG